CAGUACGUGAAUCAAAUUGAAACGGUUGUGUACAUAUUUGUUUCUCGUAUUUCAAUACAAUAGCGUUACUUUUUAAUCUAACUUUAGCACUAUAGCAGUUGGUGAACAUUGCAAACGAAACUAGGAAAUGUUCGAUUGAAAGUAUCUCACGUGCAUGUAGAAUAAUAAAGGUGAGAUUCGACGAACAAUAAACGAUUUGACAUUCGUUCUAUAAUAAGAUAUUGAACGUGUUCGAAAUGAAAAAUGGCGAUUAAACGUUGAGAUUGGCAGAUAGACACUGGUUGAAACAAAUCGAAAGUGUGUUGCAUAGCGGCGUGUUCUAAAGAUACACGUGUGUCAUAGGUAUUUAACAUGAAAGUGACUGCAUAACGGACGAUCGAGCGUAAAAAGAAAUUCACGUUUUCGCAUAUCGGUAUCGUUCCCGAUGAGAUGAAUCGUUAAAAACUGGUUUGUAAGUAAAAUUUAUUAGCACGAGUCGGCGUGAAUCGUACUUCUUAUUUAUGCGGCUGUUACGACGCCUCUGCAUAAAGUUCCAUUUGCACGUUGCACUCUGGGAAAAUUGUUGACGGUAGCGAUAAAUUGGCCUGCAGCUUAUCUCUCGUUAUCUGUUAUUUAUCCUUUUUUAGAGCGGGCCGCACGCUUUGUAGCACUGAUAAAUUGUUUCAACUGGGUCAUCCGUUCGCCACGGCUCGUUUUUGUCUUUCAUUUAUCCGCGGAAUUUCUCCCGUGCUGGUUGUUCCGAAUUUAUCGAAUUCUCCGCGGUGUUUAAACGUGAGGAAAUUGGAAGGCGAAUUGCGCACGAUCAACUAUCACUGUAUUGAAUUUUUUUCUACGACUAAAUUCCCAUUAUAAUGCACCUUCAUGAUACACGUUUCCGUAUAAUAUCAUAAGAAUAAUUGUCUAGGGCGGUAAUUACCGUCAUUAGAUUAAUGCAUACGCCACAACAUGCACAGUAAACGUAAUAUUACUAUUAUUUAUUAUCAUUUCUUUCUUGUAGCUAACAAAUGUACCAUCUAU
Molecule: long non-coding RNA, 1017 nt
Organism: Bombus pyrosoma
Lineage: Eukaryota; Metazoa; Arthropoda; Insecta; Hymenoptera; Apidae
Exons: 2
Source: RefSeq, a predicted model, not a curated record